CCUACGGGUGGCAGCAGUGGGGAAUCUUGGGCAAUGGGCGCAAGCCUGACCCAGCAACGCCGCGUGAAGGAAGAAGGCCCUCGGGUUGUAAACUUCUUUUAUUCUGGACGAAACAAAUGACGGUACCGCAUGAAUAAGCCACGGCUAACUACUUGCCAGCAGCCGCGGUAAUACGUAGGUGGCAAGCGUUAUCCGGAUUUACUGGGGGUAAAGGGCGUGUAGGCGGGGGAGGAAGUCCGACGUGAAAUUCCAGGGCUCAACCCGGGAACUGCGUUUGAAACUGUGCGUCUUGAGUGAUGGAGAGGCAGGCGGAAUUCCAGGGGUAGCGGGGAAAGGCGUAGAUAGACGGAGGAACACCAGUGGCGAAGGCGGCCUGCUGGACAUUAACUGACGCUGAGGCGCGAAAGCGUGGGGAGCAAACAGGAUUAGAUACCCCGGUAGUC
Molecule: ribosomal RNA, 443 nt
Filed under: uncultured bacterium
Lineage: Bacteria
Description: partial 16S ribosomal RNA
Rfam family: Bacterial small subunit ribosomal RNA
Source: RNAcentral